UUUAAUUAUUCUUAGUUGCUGAAUUCUUCCGUGAAUUAGUCAUUAUCUAAAAAGCUGAGGACUAUAAAGAUUUGUGAAUAGACUUUUUAUAUUUUUGGUACUGUUCUUAAACUUUCAAGAAAAACUAGCAAGCUGGAAUAUGAUGUUUUCUUAUAUGCUUCAUAUUUUACUCUUUAUAUAGUUUUAUCUUUCAGCACAGUGAGUUUCUAGAGGAAAUUCAAUCAAUACCGUCUAUGACAGAUUAACAAUGGGUACAGUAUUUUGUGUUUCUCCUUCCAUUGAAAGAUGGCAAGUCUCCUCUUGAAUCUGAGUUUGCCUUAGAGAUUUGCUUGAUCAUAGAAUGUUGCAGAGGAAUAUUCUGGGACUUCUAAGACUGGUUCAUAAGAACACUUGCAGCUUCCAUCUGGGCCUCCUGGAACACUUGCCCUUGAAACUGAGCCAUGAUGCUGUGAGGAAGCCCAACAAGCCCCAGGGAGUGGGCUAGCCAACAGCCCCAGAUGAACUCCCAGCUGACAGCUCCCACCAGCUCGACAGUCAUACAGGGAAAUUGAGGUACAGGAAGCUGAGGUAACUUGCCUGGAUCACUUAUCUUGGAAGAGGCUGAAUCAAUUCAAAUCUAGACAUUCUGGGACCUGGACCUGACUUCUUAACUAGUUGUAGGUGCCAGGCAGUCUCUGAGGAGUUGUUGAUAGAUGAAGAAAGAGUCCUGUUCACAGCCAAGAAAGCAAGGAACAGACUGACCACAGGUGGGAGACACACCUACAAGAUAUUCAUCAUCACUGACAGAAGAAAAGAACAAUGAAAGACCCUGGAAUCCGUCAUGCCUGAAGGCUGACAUUUCUAAACCCUCUCCUUACUGUCCACUUUCCCUAUAUAAUUGCUUCAAGAUUCUGUAAUCCUUGAAGAUGGUUUUUUUGAGACAUUAGUCUACCAUCUUCCUGAUUAUGCUGGCUCAUAAAAUUAAAACUUCCUUUCUCCAUUCCUAACUUGUUGUAAUUAAUUGACUCAGAUUACGGGGAGAAGAGUGAACCCAUUGCUCAGUUUCACUGUCAAUUCAAUUUAUGGCUGAUUGAUACAUAAUUGAAAGGUCAUUGGCUUUAGUUAGAGAUGCAGUGUGUAGCCUUACAGCAGAUUGGAAUUAUACAGUUUAGCUGGAGAUUGAGUUGAUCCUUACUGGUGGGACUAGUAAGAGAAAUUGCACCCCCCAAAAAAAUCAUUUUAGAAGGAAAUGCUAGCUUGUCCAGAUAUUUCUGAGUAAUUCAUAUGGGCUAUUCCAUUGUAAACAUAUUUUAAAGCUCUACUUUGUAAAAACUGUAGCUUUUAUCUUCUUGAAAGCACAGUUUUAACUCUCAGAGCUUAACUUGGUAAACUUGACAGUAAUGACCAAGUUGGUAACAUUUUCACACUAAUCUAAUCUGGAAAGUGCCUCUUUCCUCAGAUAAUUUUAGCUAUUUGGCUUGAAAAGUAAACUAGGGAAUAAGCUAUUCUAUUCACAACAUUGCUGUGUGGUGGUUCAGAGCACCCACUUAGGUAAUAAUAAUCGUAUUACUAUACAGAUAUUCUAUCCUCGAAAGCAGGCUAGGUCUUAGGGAAAUAAAAUCGUUUCUCUGCCCUCAAGGAAUUUAUAGUCUCGUGGACAGAGGUACUAAUAAAGAUUGUCAUGUAGCAGGAGACAGACUACAAUCAAGUCUUGUACAGAUACAAAUAGGAAGAAGGAAAAACAAGGUUUGACUUAGACACAACUAAAAGUUAUGUUAUAGGAGCAUAAAAUUAUAUAUUUUGACCCAGAAAGGAUUUUGGAAAAUAUCAAAUCUAAUUAAAGUAGGCAUCAUUUAAAACCAUGGCUAAAACCUCAGAAACAGC
This is a long non-coding RNA of Equus caballus (horse), 1863 nucleotides long. NCBI's taxonomy places the organism in Eukaryota, Metazoa, Chordata, Mammalia, Perissodactyla, Equidae. The record is from Ensembl.